UAGGGAAUCUUCGGCAAUGGGGGGCAACCCUGACCGAGCAACGCCGCGUGAGUGAAGAAGGUUUUCGGAUCGUAAAGCUCUGUUGUAAGAGAAGAACGUGUGUGAGAGUGGAAAGUUCACACAGUGACGGUAACUUACCAGAAAGGGACGGCUAACUACGUGCCGG
Molecule: ribosomal RNA, 166 nt
Filed under: uncultured bacterium
Lineage: Bacteria
Description: partial 16S rRNA
Rfam family: Bacterial small subunit ribosomal RNA
Source: RNAcentral